This 238-nucleotide long non-coding RNA is filed under the name Mytilus galloprovincialis (Mediterranean mussel). The record is from RNAcentral. Lineage: Eukaryota; Metazoa; Mollusca; Bivalvia; Mytilida; Mytilidae.
AAAAGUUACAAUCAGAUUUUAUGUCUUUUUGUGAAUAGAUAUGAAAUAAAAUUAUUAUGUAUACUCGGAAGGUGUCCAUUUGUGUCGCAUCAAUUUGCAAUGUUUUACACAUUAUUUGUAAAUGGUGUCAAGGGAGAGCCGAAAAUUUAGUCACUGAAAUUUUCUCCUAGGAGCGGAGAUCUAACCAGAAACCUUUGUGUUAGCAGCCCGAUGCACUACCCCUACACCACAGCUCUCC